CACCCCUCAGGGUCGCACCAGGAGAGUUUCCAGUAUUCUACCAGUCUCAACUAUGGGAGGGACAGUCAAGCAGAGGCAUACCCAUUUCAUUCCUAGUUUGUACAGUGGCUAGCGAGUGGAAGGCAAUCUGCUACAAGU
RNAcentral lists this small nucleolar RNA (138 nucleotides) under Ornithorhynchus anatinus (platypus). Lineage: Eukaryota; Metazoa; Chordata; Mammalia; Monotremata; Ornithorhynchidae. The record is from RNAcentral.